Syngnathoides biaculeatus (alligator pipefish) is the source of this 2013-nucleotide long non-coding RNA. RefSeq lists it as uncharacterized. The transcript has 4 exons. NCBI's taxonomy places the organism in Eukaryota, Metazoa, Chordata, Actinopteri, Syngnathiformes, Syngnathidae. The record is from RefSeq and is a predicted model, not a curated record.
GGUCGAAGUAAAUAAAACGCGACUUUCGAUGGUAUUUUAAAUAGAGGCGUUCCCAUCCAGGGCAACCCCCAAAACCUCAAAUAUUAGGUUUAAUGAGACUCUAUCCACCACUCAGAUGACAAUAACAGUAAGGUGACUGAGCAAAAGAAGCCCGGGUGGCAGAUGCUGGGGACGUGGAAGAAUGGUUGGUAAGGCAGGUACGAAGGUUCUCCAUUCCCAAGCAUUGCAAGAAAAGAUCCUUUGGCCUUGGGUGAUCGCUGAACAAAGUGGGAAAAUUGUUGCUGCGCAUUGCAAUUGCAAGGCUGGCCUGAGAGAAGCUUGUUCACAUGUUGCAGCACUGCUGUUUUGGGUUGAAGCUAACAUCAGGAUAUGGGACUCAAAGACUGCCAUCCAAGAGAAAGCAUACUGGAAGCUGCCAACACCUCCUCAAAAGUAGUCAAUACAAAAAAAAAUAAAGAAAAAUCCCUAUCUACCUACUGACCUUAGUUUUCUUAGUUCAUGUUACCAGAAAUACAUUAAUUUUGUUUGGCCUUAUCACAAUGUUUUGACCAUAUAAACGUGCUGUACCCAAUGUUAUGUAAGUGCAAAAACAAACUGAAAUUUUCAGUUCAAAAUACUUGUCACUUAUAUUUUUGUGCCUGAAAGUACAAUCACUGUGACCAGUUAUAAGGCAAACAUGUAUAACUGUCACGUCCCAUCGGAACGUAGUUCAAGGAGACACGUUUAUUAUAUGCAGAGGUAGGGGAUCGAGCAGGCAGUCCGGUGCAGCAGCGGUAGUUGGGACGUCGGGCGAAGAGAGCAGAUGAGCGGACAGGCAGGAGUCGGUACACAGGGGAACAAUCAACGCAGGCAGAAGUAACGAAGGAGUCAGCCUUACAAGGUUGGUCGGAGAACGGACGAAGGUCGGUACACACAGGUUCGAUCAGGGAUACCGGAGCACACGAACGGGACAUGAAGAUCAACGAACUGGCGCCGGCCAAUUGUCAUCGCGGUCAUAUAAAUCCACUGUCACGAUGCGGGGCUCAAGGUUGGACCCAAAUGCACGACUCCAGAGACAGCACACAGUACAGAGGAAACCUUUAUUCGGUCCGAGGUCUGAGAUCAGGUAGACAGUCCAAACAAUUCGUAGUACCAGUACGAAUGGGCUUACGAGGGUGGUCACAAUGAACAGGCGUGGGUCGGUGCACGGAGGUCAGAAGUCGAGAAAGCAGGAGUGCGGGAACGAGGCAUGAAGAGCAACGAUCUAGCGGAGUAUCUGUCGUCCCCCGGGUCCUAUAUGUACUGGGUCUAAUCAAAGGUCAUGAGGCGCAGGUGUGCACCUUCAGAUUAGCUGGCCACGCCCAGCCCGGGCUGGAAUCCAGGAGCAUGACAUCCACAGCAUAAUCAGGCUGCAUGAGGCGCAGGUGUGCACCUCCCAAUCAACGCACCUGCGCGGGCACCCACACAGCUCGUGCUGGAGCGGCAGGAUCAUGACAAUAACACCAACUGAAAUUGACACCUCGAUUAUUGGAGAAAUGGAUGACGCAGCUUUGGGCUUUUCCAUUCCAGCCUAUGGUGACAGGAUUGCUGCAAGGUAUUUCUCAAUGGAAAAACAAAGCGGUUUCUUCCCAUUCAGUUAGUGAUGAUUGUUUGGACUGUGAAUGUGGGCAAUGGCAGAUUUUCUUGGUGUAGGUGCUGUAUAAGUAGUCGAAGAAACAAUAACUCACACGAGCUUGGGUUGACUGUGAAAAAUUUUUUCUACACUAUCAACAGUUAAUUCACUUUUGGACGGGAAUAUUUGUGUGUUAGAAACACCAUUGUGCUUUUACUGUUAAAUUUUAAUGGAAUUUGAAUCUCUACCUAAUAAGACAGUGUUUGUGAGUCUGGUACAAGGUAGUUUGGGAUUUUUUUGUUUUGUUUUGUUUUGCGAACACAUUAUGUGUCAACUGUUGAGUUGUGUAAUUAAAGGGUCAAACUGUGACAUUGAACAGACAUGAUGUUUCCAGCUGCAUUGCAUGCAUGCUUGGAUUGAGA